GCACCCAUAGCUCAGCUGGAUAGAGUGCUGGACUUCGAAUCCAGGCGUCGCAGGUUCAAAUCCUGUUGGGUGUACCA
This 77-nucleotide transfer RNA is filed under the name Clostridium sp. RNAcentral describes it as "tRNA-Arg". It matches the Rfam family "tRNA". From Rfam's summary of the family: Transfer RNA (tRNA) molecules are approximately 80 nucleotides in length. Their secondary structure includes four short double-helical elements and three loops (D, anti-codon, and T loops). Lineage: Bacteria; Bacillati; Bacillota; Clostridia; Eubacteriales; Clostridiaceae. The record is from RNAcentral.